AGCAGCCGCGGUAAUUCCAGCUCCAAUAGCGUAUAUUAAAGUUGUUGCAGUUAAAAGCUCGUAGUUGAAUUUCGGGGUUAGUAGGUUGGUCAUGCCUCUGGUAUGUACUGGUCUCACUGAUUCCUCCUUCCUGAUGAACCUUAAUGCCAUUAAUUUGGUGUUUUGGGGAAUUUGGACUGUUACUUUGAAAAAUUAGAGUGUUUAAAGCAAGCUAACGCUUGAAUACAUUAGCAUGGAAUAAUGAAAUAGGACGUUCGAUCCUAUUUUGUUGGUUUCUAGGAUUGACGUAAUGAUUAAUAGGGAUAGUUGGGGGCAUUAGUAUUCAAUUGUCAGAGGUGAAAUUCUUGGAUUUAUUGAAGACUAACUACUGCGAAAGCAUUUUGCCAAGGAUGUUUUCAUUAAUCAAGAACGAAAGUUAGGGAUCGAAGACGAUCAGAUACCGUCGUAGUCUUAACCAUAAACUAUGCCGACUAGGGAUCGGAUGAUGUUAAUUUUUAAUGUACUCAUUCGGCGCCUUACG
RNAcentral lists this unclassified non-coding RNA (520 nucleotides) under uncultured Glomus. RNAcentral describes it as "SSU rRNA". It matches the Rfam family "Eukaryotic small subunit ribosomal RNA", at positions 569 to 1092 of the family's 1831-position model. The record is from RNAcentral. Lineage: Eukaryota; Fungi; Glomeromycota; Glomeromycetes; Glomerales; Glomeraceae.